Gallus gallus (chicken) is the source of this 1062-nucleotide long non-coding RNA. The record is from Ensembl. Lineage: Eukaryota; Metazoa; Chordata; Aves; Galliformes; Phasianidae.
UGCUCUUCUUCCCCAGUGUCUCCUUUGCAAUGGUUAGCAUUCAAGGAAGACAAAAGCUGCUGCAGUGAGUGGAGCCUGGUGUCCUAUUCUUGUAUUGCUGAUGGAGAAGGCUGUCAAGAUCUGAACAAUCUGCUGCUCUGUGGAUGGGAUCUGCAUUUCUUCAGCUGUGCUGAGGAAAAGGAAGAACCAACUUCUGGUAUUGAAGCAGUUAUGAGAAGGACAACAUUUGGAGGACCAAACCAGGUAUCCAUUGCUGGGAGGUCAGAAUCCCUGUAGGUGCCACCAAGGGCCAUUUCCUUGGGAUUGGUGUGGCUGAGGCAGACUGAGAUGAGGCUGGAGCCGGACUCGAUGACCCUCAGGGGGUCCACUCCAACUAUAUGCUAUGACUCUAUGAGAUGUGGCAGCAGCUCUCCCUCAUCUCUGCCCUUUUGGUUGAUUGCUGCCUUCCCAGCAGUGCCCCUGGGAUGUUUCCCAUCUGCUGGAUUGCUUUGCUUAGAACCCAGUGGAAAUCUCUUGGAGCAGAAAUACUUUUUUCCAUUAGAAGACUGCUUUCAUGAGCUUGUGGAUGAAGGUUGGAGGGCUCCUCCAUGCCCAGCGUGGUUAGCAAAUGUGUUGUCAGCCUGUAGUUCCUCACAGACAAACACUGCAAUGAAAAAGGAGGAACAGACCAACAGACAGACCACCAACACGACAGACCAAAUCCUGGCCAUUGGAAAUAACAAAAGUGAAGUCUCUGGGGAGGUUCCAGUCCACGGGAAUGCUGUUAGGAGCUUUAUCUUGGCUUUCUACUGCUACCUCCUGCUGUGGUUCGUGUUGAGGAGGAACAAGAGCUACUGCACUGGUGUGGGCAAGAAGAGCCAAUGGGCACAAGCCAUUGACUGCAGGGUUUGGGCUGUAGGCACGAAUCUCCCCGAGGAGGCAGCCCAUGUGGGGCAGGAGAUGUUGGCUGCAUCCAGAUGGGUGCUGAGCCAUCCUCCUCCUGCCACCGCUCACCGUCGGGGUGCUGACCCGUGCCCGGGGCUGCGUGGACCAGUUCAGGUGCCUACGCUGCAACUUCCAUCC